This 499-nucleotide ribosomal RNA is filed under the name uncultured bacterium. RNAcentral describes it as "bacterial SSU rRNA". It matches the Rfam family "Bacterial small subunit ribosomal RNA", at positions 30 to 523 of the family's 1533-position model. The record is from RNAcentral.
AUUGAACGCUGGCGGCAUGCCUUACACAUGCAAGUCGAACGGCAGCGCGGGGGCAACCCUGGCGGCGAGUGGCGAACGGGUGAGUAAUAUAUCGGAACAUACCCUAGAAUGGGGGAUAACGUAGCGAAAGUUACGCUAAUACCGCAUACGCACUAAGGUGGAAAGCGGGGGAUCGCAAGACCUCGUGCUCAUGGAGUGGCCGAUAUCUGAUUAGCUAGUUGGUAGGGUAAAAGCCUACCAAGGCGACGAUCAGUAGCUGGUUUGAGAGAACGACCAGCCACACUGGAACUGAGACACGGUCCAGACUCCUACGGGAGGCAGCAGUGGGGAAUUUUGGACAAUGGGGGGCAACCCUGAUCCAGCAAUGCCGCGUGAGUGAAGAAGGCCCUCGGGUUGUAAAGCUCUUUUGUCAGGGAGAAACGGUGAGUUCUAAUAAGCUUGCUAAUGACGGUACCUGAAGAAUAAGCACCGGCUAACUACGUGCCAGCAGCCGCGGUAA